CAGGCUUAACACAUGCAAGUCGAGGGGCAGCAUGGUCUUAGCUUGCUAAGGCCGAUGGCGACCGGCGCACGGGUGAGUAACACGUAUCCAACCUGCCGUCUACUCUUGGACAGCCUUCUGAAAGGAAGAUUAAUACAAGAUGGCAUCAUGAGUCCGCAUGUUCACAUGAUUAAAGGUAUUCCGGUAGACGAUGGGGAUGCGUUCCAUUAGAUAGUAGGCGGGGUAACGGCCCACCUAGUCUUCGAUGGAUAGGGGUUCUGAGAGGAAGGUCCCCCACAUUGGAACUGAGACACGGUCCAAACUCCUACGGGAGGCAGCAGUGAGGAAUAUUGGUCAAUGGGCGAGAGCCUGAACCAGCCAAGUAGCGUGAAGGAUGACUGCCCUAUGGGUUGUAAACUUCUUUUAUAAAGGAAUAAAGUCGGGUAUGUAUACCCGUUUGCAUGUACUUUAUGAAUAAGGAUCGGCUAACUCCGUGCCAGCAGCCGCGGUAAUACGGAGGAUCCGAGCGUUAUCCGGAUU
Molecule: ribosomal RNA, 519 nt
Filed under: uncultured Bacteroidales bacterium
Lineage: Bacteria; Pseudomonadati; Bacteroidota; Bacteroidia; Bacteroidales
Description: bacterial SSU rRNA
Rfam family: Bacterial small subunit ribosomal RNA
Source: RNAcentral